This 423-nucleotide ribosomal RNA is filed under the name Sphingobium yanoikuyae. RNAcentral describes it as "bacterial SSU rRNA". It matches the Rfam family "Bacterial small subunit ribosomal RNA", at positions 1 to 453 of the family's 1533-position model. Lineage: Bacteria; Pseudomonadati; Pseudomonadota; Alphaproteobacteria; Sphingomonadales; Sphingobiaceae. The record is from RNAcentral.
GGGGUUUUNANUUGAUCCUGGCUCAGAACGAACGCUGGCGGCAUGCCUAAUACAUGCAAGUCGAACGAGAUCUUCGGAUCUAGUGGCGCACGGGUGCGUAACGCGUGGGAAUCUGCCCUUGGGUUCGGAAUAACUUCUGGAAACGGAAGCUAAUACCGGAUGAUGACGUAAGUCCAAAGAUUUAUCGCCCAAGGAUGAGCCCGCGUAGGAUUAGCUAGUUGGUGAGGUAAAGGCUCACCAAGGCGACGAUCCUUAGCUGGUCUGAGAGGAUGAUCAGCCACACUGGGACUGAGACACGGCCCAGACUCCUACGGGAGGCAGCAGUAGGGAAUAUUGGACAAUGGGCGAAAGCCUGAUCCAGCAAUGCCGCGUGAGUGAUGAAGGCCUUAGGGUUGUAAAGCUCUUUUACCCGGGAUGAUUNCN